CUGGGAGCCCAACGCAGGGUUUCCCUUCCUGCCUGUAGAGGAGAAGUCUUACAGCAGUGAUUUCGUUAGUUGCGAAGGAUGGCACUGGGAAUGAAGUGAUCACUUGAGAGCACAUUCUGGGCACUGCUCUGGGGAAUGGUGAUAUGGAACUUGCAGGAAGGAGCACAAAUGCAUGGGGCAGGAGCAGCAGUAUGAGUGCAAGCCUUGCCCUCAGCAGGGAGUGAGAAGCAUGGCAGGAGCUGAUUCCUGCAUUGUGCCAUCAGCUGGCAGGCAGUAGGACAGCUAAAGAUUCAUGGCAGUAGUGGGACCCGCUGGCAGGAGCAUUGGGGAGGACGUGCCCAGCAGUGCUGAGGCUGU
Molecule: long non-coding RNA, 357 nt
Filed under: Gallus gallus (chicken)
Lineage: Eukaryota; Metazoa; Chordata; Aves; Galliformes; Phasianidae
Description: lncRNA (ENSGALG00010009285.1)
Source: RNAcentral